AAAACUUGGCAGUUUUGAUGAGGGACUUACUUUAACAGCUGCUCCACUAUGCUUCUCCAUCUCUGUGCUAGACUGCAGUAUUUCAUUAGAUAGACACAGAGCCGCCAAAUGUUUAUCAUGUGAUGAUUCAUCUCUGCUUGGCCAUUGCAAGUUCCUUCUUUUCCUGUAUUUCCUGCUUGCAAGCAAUCCAUUCAGUGGUUAGUAUUGGUCCCGUAGAAACUAAAUUACAAGAUAAAAAAAAAAAAGGUGAUGUUCCCAUGAUAGGUGUGGUGAGAUUUCUGGAAAUCCAAUCUUUUUGUACUUGACAGUCAAAUGUUUUCAUCUACAAUUCAUUAUGAAAGAAAUAUUAUGUUGUCAAUUGUUUUUAGGAAAAAGUUUUCCUGCACCAGUGGCUGAACGAUGAGACGGUCCAGAUGUGAUCUCCCUCUCCCCCUAUUGGCUAGGGUGGCAAUGCGCCACAGUGAACAGGAAUCUGUUUUUAUUAAAAUAAAAAAUAGGAUUCUGUUCACCGUGGUUUCAGGAUAACUCGGUCCUUGUUUGUAUAUUAAAUCUAGGGAAAUCGUUUCUUGCAGCUUUGAAGACAUAUGUUAAGAUCAUGGAGUGAAUGCAUGAGUGAGCUUUCUUCUCCUCCUUCUGGUUGAUGUAACAUGUCGCAUUGUUUGGGAUUCUCCAUUUCCAAUUAUUUUCAUCA
Molecule: long non-coding RNA, 691 nt
Organism: Macadamia integrifolia
Lineage: Eukaryota; Viridiplantae; Streptophyta; Magnoliopsida; Proteales; Proteaceae
Exons: 2
Source: RefSeq, a predicted model, not a curated record